CCAGCGAACUUGGCAGAGAUGCCUUGGUGCCUUCGGGAACGCUGAGACAGGUGCUGCAUGGCUGUCGUCAGCUCGUGUUGUGAAAUGUUGGAUUAAGUCCCGCAACGAGCGCAACCCUUAUCCUUUGUUGCCAGCGAUUCGGUCGGGAACUCAAAGGAGACUGCCGGUGAUAAACCGGAGGAAGGUGGGGAUGACGUCAAGUCAUCAUGGCCCUUACGAGUAGGGCUACACACGUGCUACAAUGGCGCAUACAAAGAGAAGCGACCUCGCGAGAGCAAGCGGACCUCAUAAAGUGCGUCGUAGUCCGGAUCGGAGUCUGCAACUCGACUCCGUGAAGUCGGAAUCGCUAGUAAUCGUGGAUCAGAAUGCCACGGUGAAUACGUUCCCGGGCCUUGUACACACCGCCCGUCACACCAUGGGAGUGGGUUGCAAAAGAAGUAGGUAGCUUAACCUUCGGGAGGGCGCUUACCACUUUGUGAUUCAUGACUGGGGUGAAGUCGUAACAAGGUAAGCGUAGCGAG
RNAcentral lists this ribosomal RNA (521 nucleotides) under uncultured bacterium. Its description in RNAcentral is "bacterial SSU rRNA". It matches the Rfam family "Bacterial small subunit ribosomal RNA", at positions 988 to 1509 of the family's 1533-position model. The record is from RNAcentral.